Long non-coding RNA from Etheostoma spectabile (orangethroat darter), 225 nucleotides. RefSeq lists it as uncharacterized. The record is from RefSeq and is a predicted model, not a curated record. The transcript is spliced from 3 exons. NCBI's taxonomy places the organism in Eukaryota, Metazoa, Chordata, Actinopteri, Perciformes, Percidae.
UGAAAUACAAACUGCAGAAAAUACUAGACAUUAUUUCUUCUCCUAGCUGGAUCUGGCCAGAGAAUUUCAUCAACACCACAGGCAAUAUCCUCAUUGGCAAGACAACGUGGGAAGAACCAUCUUGAAUGUCGAAUCCAUCCUUGCACAGCUGCGGCGUCGACUUGGUCACAGGCGUCCUCCAUGGCCAUGACUGAGGGGUACCUGAGUCUGGGGCCAGAGAUCGUG